RNAcentral lists this ribosomal RNA (220 nucleotides) under uncultured bacterium. RNAcentral describes it as "partial 16S ribosomal RNA". It matches the Rfam family "Bacterial small subunit ribosomal RNA", at positions 57 to 305 of the family's 1533-position model. The record is from RNAcentral.
GCAAGUCGAGCGCGCCCUUCGGGGUGAGCGGCGGACGGGUGAGUAACGCGUGGGAAUAUGCCCUUCUCUAAGGAAUAGCCUCUGGAAACGGAGAGUAAUACCCUAUGUGCCCUUCGGGGGAAAGAUUUAUCGCCUUUGGAUUAGCCCGCGUUGGAUUAGGUAGUUGGUGGGGUAAUGGCCUACCAAGCCUACGAUCCAUAGCUGGUUUGAGAGGAUGAUC